AACGGGAUUAGAUACCCCGGUAGUCCUGGCCCUAAACGCUGCUCGCUCGCUUUCGGGAGUAUCGACCCUCUCGGAGGCUAAGCUAACGCGGUAAGCGAGCCGCCUGGGUAGUACGAGCGCAAGCUUAAAACUCAAAGGAAUAGACGGGGACUUGCACAAGCGGUGGAUCAUGCGGCUUAAUUCGUCGCUAAGCGAAGAACCUUACCAGGGUUAGAAAUCCAGCUGCAUAUUCUAAGAAACUAGAAUAGCCUUCGAGGGUGCUGGACAGGUGAUGCAUGGCCGUCGUCAGUUCGUGGUUUGAACUGUUCCCUUAAGUGGGGUAACGAACGCAACCCUCGUUGCCUGUUAUAAGUGUCAGGCGAGACUGCUCCCUCACGGGAGAGGAAGGUGGGGAUGACGCCAGGUCAGCAUGUCCCUUGAUACCCUGGGCUGCACGCGUGAUACAAUGGUUGGUACAAUGAGACGCAAUGGGGUAACCCGGAGCAAAUCUAUUAAAACCAAUCUCAAUCCGGAUUGAGGUCUGAAACUCGACCUCAUGAAGUCGGAAUCGCUAGUAAUCGUGGGUCAGCAACACCACGGUGAAUACGUUCUCAAGUCUUGUACUCACCGCCCGUCAAGUCAAGGGAGUUGGGGGUGCCCGACGUUCCAGUUAAUCUGGACCUAAGGCAAAUUCAAUGACAAGGACUAAGUCGUAACAAGGCACGGCUAGCGGAAGCUGGUCGUG
Molecule: ribosomal RNA, 724 nt
Filed under: Patescibacteria group bacterium UBA3533
Lineage: Bacteria
Description: bacterial SSU rRNA
Rfam family: Bacterial small subunit ribosomal RNA
Source: RNAcentral